AAAGUCGUAACAAGGUUUCCGUAGGUGAACCUGCGGAAGGAUCAUUAACACGUAUCCAAACGUUAAACCCCCCUGUGCAUCUUAAUCCUGCUCGCUUUCGCCUUGACAAAGCAAUCUCUGGUAAAUCAUUGCCCAAACAGUGUUGAUUCAGAGACCUCUUUCGAAACACGAAUCCAUGGAGCGGCAGAUCAAUAGGCUUGGCUUCCAACGGAGGGAGGAUAACUUGGUAACAUCCAAGGUCGUUGGCUUACACGGUCAACGGACAAGUCUCUGGGCGUAAAGCCCCAGCUAACAAAACCCAGUAGGUGAAAGUAGUCCCGCGUAAAGUAGGGACACAAAAACGAACAACUGUUAACAAUGGAUAUCUUGGUUCUC
Molecule: unclassified non-coding RNA, 375 nt
Filed under: Cercozoa sp.
Lineage: Eukaryota; Cercozoa
Description: partial contains small subunit ribosomal RNA, internal transcribed spacer 1, and 5.8S ribosomal RNA
Rfam family: Eukaryotic small subunit ribosomal RNA (bases 1-47)
Source: RNAcentral